RNAcentral lists this ribosomal RNA (253 nucleotides) under uncultured bacterium. RNAcentral describes it as "partial 16S ribosomal RNA". It matches the Rfam family "Bacterial small subunit ribosomal RNA", at positions 524 to 776 of the family's 1533-position model. The record is from RNAcentral.
UACGGAGGGUGCAAGCGUUAUCCGGAUUCACUGGGUUUAAAGGGUGCGUAGGCGGGCAGGUAAGUCAGUGGUGAAAUCUCCGGGCUUAACCCGGAAACUGCCGUUGAUACUAUCUGUCUUGAAUAUUGUGGAGGUAAGCGGAAUAUGUCAUGUAGCGGUGAAAUGCUUAGAUAUGACAUAGAACACCAAUUGCGAAGGCAGCUUACUACACAGUUAUUGACGCUGAGGCACGAAAGCGUGGGGAUCAAACAGG